GAUCAGUUGAUGAGAAAAAUAAAACUGCAACAAUAUGAUUGGAUUUAUUCCAUGAUACUUGUAUUUAAGUCUGAUGAUC
This 79-nucleotide small nucleolar RNA is filed under the name Gossypium barbadense (sea-island cotton). RNAcentral's name for it is "Small nucleolar RNA Z199". It matches the Rfam family "Small nucleolar RNA Z199". Rfam says of the family: snoZ199 is a C/D box small nucleolar RNA, which acts as a methylation guide RNA for sites on 18S and 25S rRNA. Rice snoZ199 is reported to be homologous to Arabidopsis snoR13. The record is from Rfam by way of RNAcentral. RNAcentral also lists the same sequence under 2 other names. Lineage: Eukaryota; Viridiplantae; Streptophyta; Magnoliopsida; Malvales; Malvaceae.